This 462-nucleotide ribosomal RNA is filed under the name Bacillus cereus. RNAcentral's name for it is "bacterial SSU rRNA". It matches the Rfam family "Bacterial small subunit ribosomal RNA", at positions 48 to 491 of the family's 1533-position model. The record is from RNAcentral. Lineage: Bacteria; Bacillati; Bacillota; Bacilli; Caryophanales; Bacillaceae.
CUAAUACAUGCAAGUCGAGCGAAUGGAUUAAGAGCUUGCUCUUAUGAAGUUAGCGGCGGACGGGUGAGUAACACGUGGGUAACCUGCCCAUAAGACUGGGAUAACUCCGGGAAACCGGGGCUAAUACCGGAUAACAUUUUGAACCGCAUGGUUCGAAAUUGAAAGGCGGCUUCGGCUGUCACUUAUGGAUGGACCCGCGUCGCAUUAGCUAGUUGGUGAGGUAACGGCUCACCAAGGCAACGAUGCGUAGCCGACCUGAGAGGGUGAUCGGCCACACUGGGACUGAGACACGGCCCACACUCCUAUCGGAAGGCAGCAUUAGGGAAUCUUCCGCAAUGGACGAAAGUCUGACGGAGCACCGCCGCUUGAGUGAUGAAGGCUUUCGGGCCGUAAAACUCUGUUGUUAGGGAAGAACAAUUGCUAUUUGAAUAGCUGGCACCUUAACGGUACUAACCAAAAAGC